CCAAUAGCGUAUAUUAAAGUUGUUGCAGUUAAAAAGCUCGUAGUUGAAUUUCGGGAUCAAUAUGUCGGUCGUCCCAUCGGUACGUACUGGUAUCAUUGGUCUCUCCUUUCUGACGAACCAUGAUGUCAUUAAUUUGGUGUUAUGGGAAGUUAGGACUGUUACUUUGAAAAAAUUAGAGUGUUUAAAGCAGGCUUUGGCUU
This 200-nucleotide ribosomal RNA is filed under the name uncultured Glomus. Its description in RNAcentral is "partial small subunit ribosomal RNA". It matches the Rfam family "Eukaryotic small subunit ribosomal RNA", at positions 591 to 796 of the family's 1831-position model. The record is from RNAcentral. Lineage: Eukaryota; Fungi; Glomeromycota; Glomeromycetes; Glomerales; Glomeraceae.